AUACUCCUACGGGAGGCAGCAGCGGGGAAUGUUGCGCAAUGGAUGGAAGUCAGACGCAGCGACGCCGCGUGGGUGAGGAAGGCCUUCGGGUUGUAAAGCCCUUUUCAGGGGAGCGAGAAAGGACGGUACCCUUGGAAUAAGCGUCGGCUAACUACGUGCCAGCAGCCGCGGUAAGACGUAGGACGCAAGCGUUAUCCGGAUUUACUGGGCGUAAAGCGCCUGUAGGCGGUCAAGUAAGUCGGAUGUGAAAGCCCCGUGCUCAACGCGGGGAAGCCAUUCGAUACUGCGUGACUAGAGAACGGCAGAGGGAAACGGAAUUUCUGGUGUAGCGGUAAAAUGCGCAGAGAUCAGAAAGAACACCGAUGGCGAAGGCAGUUUCCUAGGCCGCAUCUGACGCUGAGAGGCGAAAGCUAGGGGAGCAAACAGGAUUAGAGACCCUGGUAGUCCUAGCUGUAAACGAUGGAUGCUAGGUGUGGGCCGGAAAGGUCCGUGCCGUAGUUAACGCGAUAAGCAUCCCGCCUGGGGAGUACGGCCGCAAGGCUAAAACUCAAACGAAUUGACGGGGACCCGCACAAGCAGCGGAGCGUGUGGUUUAAUUCGAUGCUACACGCAGAACCUUACCUGGGCUUGACAUCUGGGUGGUAGUGAAGUGAAAGCGGAGCGACCCUUCGGGGAGCAUACACAGGUGCUGCAUGGCUGUCGUCAGCUCGUGCCGUGAGGUGUCGGGUUAAGUCCCGUAACGAGCGCAACCCUUGUCCUUAGUUACAAGUGUCUAAGGAGACUGCCGGUGACAAACCGGAGGAAGGUGGGGAUGACGUCAAGUCAGCAUGGCCCUUAUGUCCAGGGCGACACACACGCUACAAUGGUCGGUACAAUGGGCAGCGCAGCCGCGAGGUGAAGCGAUCCCAACAAAGCCGAUCCCAGUUCGGAUUGCAGGCUGCAACCCGCAUGCAUGAAGCCGGAGUUGCUAGUAACCGCGCGUCAGCCAUAGUGCGGUGAAUACGUUCCCGGGUCGUGUACACACCGCCCGUCACG
This 1035-nucleotide ribosomal RNA is filed under the name uncultured organism. RNAcentral describes it as "bacterial SSU rRNA". It matches the Rfam family "Bacterial small subunit ribosomal RNA", at positions 333 to 1401 of the family's 1533-position model. The record is from RNAcentral.